Molecule: ribosomal RNA, 580 nt
Filed under: uncultured bacterium
Lineage: Bacteria
Description: bacterial SSU rRNA
Rfam family: Bacterial small subunit ribosomal RNA
Source: RNAcentral
CCUACGGGAGGCAGCAGUAAGGAAUAUUGGUCAAUGGGCGGAAGCCUGAACCAGCCAUGCCGCGUGCAGGAAGACUGCCCUACGGGUUGUAAACUGCUUUUGUACCGGAAUAAACCUUGAUACGUGUAUCAAGCUGAAUGUACGGUAAGAAUAAGGAUCGGCUAACUCCGUGCCAGCAGCCGCGGUAAUACGGAGGAUCCAAGCGUUAUCCGGAUUUAUUGGGUUUAAAGGGUGCGUAGGUGGCUUUUUAAGUCAGGGGUGAAAGACGGUAGCUUAACUAUCGCAGUGCCUUUGAUACUGAAGAGCUUGAAUGAACUAGAGGUAGGCGGAAUGUGACAAGUAGCGGUGAAAUGCAUAGAUAUGUCACAGAACACCAAUUGCGAAGGCAGCUUACUAUGGUUUAAUUGACACUGAGGCACGAAAGCGUGGGGAUCAAACAGGAUUAGAUACCCUGGUAGUCCACGCCCUAAACGAUGAAUACUCGAUGUUGGCGAUAUACGGUCAGCGUCUAAGCGAAAGCGUUAAGUAUUCCACCUGGGGAGUACGCCCGCAAGGGUGAAACGUCAAAUGAAAUUGACGG